RNAcentral lists this ribosomal RNA (1004 nucleotides) under Eropterus sp. UPOL A00552. RNAcentral describes it as "SSU rRNA". It matches the Rfam family "Eukaryotic small subunit ribosomal RNA", at positions 32 to 965 of the family's 1831-position model. The record is from RNAcentral. Lineage: Eukaryota; Metazoa; Arthropoda; Insecta; Coleoptera; Lycidae.
UUGUCUCAAAGAUUAAGCCAUGCAUGUCUCAGUACAAGCCAAAUUAAGGUGAAACCGCGAAAGGCUCAUUAAAUCAGUUAUGGUUCCUUAGAUCGUACCAACAUUUACUUGGAUAACUGUGGUAAUUCUAGAGCUAAUACAUGCAAACAGAGCUCCGACCGGAGACGGAAGGAGCGCUUUUAUUAGAUCAAAACCAAUCGGCGUCGGGUUCGCUUGCGGGCCCGUCGUCGUUCGCAUUGACGAAUCUGAAUAACUUUCUGCUGAUCGCACGGUCUCGCACCGGCGACGCAUCUUUCAAAUGUCUGCCUUAUCAACUGUCGAUGGUAGGUUCUGUGCCUACCAUGGUUGUAACGGGUAACGGGGAAUCAGGGUUCGAUUCCGGAGAGGGAGCCUGAGAAACGGCUACCACAUCCAAGGAAGGCAGCAGGCGCGCAAAUUACCCACUCCCGGCACGGGGAGGUAGUGACGAAAAAUAACGAUACGGGACUCAUCCGAGGCCCCGUAAUCGGAAUGAGAACAAUUUAAAUCCUUUAACGAGGAUCAAUUGGAGGGCAAGUCUGGUGCCAGCAGCCGCGGUAAUUCCAGCUCCAAUAGCGUAUAUUAAAGUUGUUGCGGUUAAAAAGCUCGUAGUCGAAUCUGUGUCCCACGCCGCCGGUUCGUCGCUCGCGGCGUUUAACUGGCGUGUCCGUGGGACGUCCUGCCGGUGGGCUUAGCCCUUUCGGGGGCGGCCCAAUCAUAAUCCCGCCGCGGUGCUCUUCACCGAGUGUCGAGGCGGGCCGGCACGUUUACUUUGAACAAAUUAGAGUGCUUAAAGCAGGCUAAAACUUCGCCUGAAUACUUCGUGCAUGGAAUAAUGGAAUAGGACCUCGGUUCUAUUUUGUUGGUUUUCGGAACCCCGAGGUAAUGAUUAAUAGGAACGGAUGGGGGCAUUCGUAUUGCGACGUUAGAGGUGAAAUUCUUGGAUCGUCGCAAGACGGACAGAAGCGAAAGCAUUUGCCAAAGAA